Molecule: ribosomal RNA, 485 nt
Filed under: uncultured bacterium
Lineage: Bacteria
Description: bacterial SSU rRNA
Rfam family: Bacterial small subunit ribosomal RNA
Source: RNAcentral
AAUUCGCCCUUAGAGUUUGAUCCUGGCUCAGAUUGAACGCUGGCGGCAGGCUUAACACAUGCAAGUCGAGCGGAGAUGAGGUGCUUGCACCUUAUCUUAGCGGCGGACGGGUGAGUAAUACUUAGGAAUCUGGCUAUUAGUGGGGGACAACAUUUCGGAAGGGAUGCUAAUACCGCAUACGUCCUACGGGAGAAAGCAGGGGAUCUUCGGACCUUGCGCUAAUAGAUGAGCCUAAGUCGGAUUAGCUAGUUGGUGGGGUAAAGGCCUACCAAGGCGACGAUCUGUAGCGGGUCUGAGAGGAUGAUCCGCCACACUGGGACUGAGACACGGCCCAGACUCCUACGGGAGGCAGCAGUGGGGAAUAUUGGACAAUGGGGGGAACCCUGAUCCAGCCAUGCCGCGUGUGUGAAGAAGGCCUUAUGGUUGUAAAGCACUUUAAGCGAGGAGGAGGGUACUGGUAUUAAUACUACCAGCUACUGGACGUA